AGAAAGGAAUAGAAAUAGGGAGAAAGAAAAUUAUAGAGAGAGGAGGAAAGUUCUAGAGAGAGAGAAGGAGGUAGCCGCCGCUCCGGCCACGAGGAGUCCGGUUCCGGCCGAGCCUUCUUCAUGAAAUCUUCACAGAACUUAGAAGAGAACAUUCUUAACUUUUAGAUCAUCGAAAACCAUCAAGAAAUGAGGAAAAAUCUAAAGAGGAUUACGCUCAAAACCUGAGAAGGAAGUUGUAAUCGAUUCAGAUCGGAAAUGGGAGUUUCGGCGUUCGUCAAAGAGGAGAAAGGAGGAGGCUGCGCUUCGCCGGAGGAGAAGGGCCACGUGUCAAGCGUCCAUUGGAGAAGAAAAAAAAAUCAAAGAAAUACUUCGCGUCGGGCGGGAUUCGAUGGCCGGCGGCCCGCUACUCGAGUUCGCGACCCGAUGACCCGCGCGCAACCCGGACCACCGACCCGGCUUCUCGUUGCCACGCGUCAGCGUAAAAGAAUUCGAAUUUCCAGCGCGUCCUUCCGGUUUCGAACCGACGACCUCGACCUCGGCUGACCGUUCAUCGGGGCGCCACGUGGCAACACCUCAGCGCGCGUCUCCCCUCCCUCAUGCGCGUCCGUACGCGCGCGUGGCCGUGCGCGUGUAGCUCCUUCCCAGGCGCGUGUGAGCGCGUGAGGGUUUAAAUGAGAAAAUUCAGUAUUUGUGGACACUCUACUGGUGUAGAAAUGCUCAACGAAGAACACGCGUCAAUCGGGUAAGUCACCACCUGGAACUUUAGGAAGAAAUACUUGCAGGAGUCGCUUGGUUAUGCAUGCAUGCUAGUUUAAUUACCUUAGGUGGUAUUUUUCCAUGAUUGAAUGUAAGUAAUUUGAUUGUUAAGAGUAUGGAUGUAUUAUGUGAAAUAUUACGAAAAUUAUCUGA
This is a long non-coding RNA of Cucurbita moschata (crookneck pumpkin), 909 nucleotides long. RefSeq lists it as uncharacterized. Lineage: Eukaryota; Viridiplantae; Streptophyta; Magnoliopsida; Cucurbitales; Cucurbitaceae. The transcript has 3 exons. The record is from RefSeq and is a predicted model, not a curated record.